GUGUUUUGCACUUAAGUCCCUGAACUUUACGCGUCCUGUCGUGGUCUUACCGCGGUUACGCCAGGACCACGGCCAAAGUGCCUCUCAGACACCCGCAACAGCAUUCUGCCACGGUCCUACUGUGGUUACGCCGGAACCGCGACAGACCAUCUUCAGUUCUAGUUUUUCCUGCCUUCGCUUGGUGCACUUUGUGGAUAUUGUAAGAUUGGCCUCUUUUCUCCGUAAUUGAUCCCAAAAGUACUCCAUAGAUUCCUUUUACUUGAUAUAGUCUGCAAAGCAUGAAAAACACUAAUCAUAGCAUUUUGUUAUCACUUUUUACCAUAUAAACUAUACAAGAAGGUGGUUCUUUAGGGCUUAAUUAUAGUCUAAUUAACCCAUUACCAAUACCCCACACUUAAAUCUUUGCUCGUCCUUGAGCAAGUUGAACCACACUUUUAGGCCUAAUCAUUUGAUGCAUUACCCUGUUUAUGUCACAGCCCUCAUUAUGAAAGAGCAACCUAAGCAGUGUAACAUCCCAACCUCAGAUGAAGACUCUAAUGCCAUGCCACACUCGUACUUACUCUAUAUACUCUAAACAGAUGUGAAAACUUAUUUUUUCUUCCUGAGUCACAUGCCCUCACAUCACAUAUAUGAGAGAAGUUCCACACACAUAUAUCACACCUCCUUUUUCCGCCCCGCGAGGGAGUAGAGGAGUAUUUCCAAUUAAAGGACAAUUGAAAUGGGAUUAUUUAUUAAAGAAUCAGAGUCGCAACUUGGGAGAUUUAUGGUGUCCCAAGUCACCGGUUUAAUCCCGAAUCGAGGAAAAGAAUGACUAAUUUCGAACCAAGGAAAAAGAUGACUCUGUUUAACAGUCUGCGAACCAGAAAUACGGAUAAGAAAUUUUGUUAACCCGGGAGAAGGUGUUAGGCAUUUCCGUGUUCCGUGGUUCUAGUACGGUCGCUCAACUAUUGCAUUUAGCCUUUAUCUGAUUAUAUUACAUGAAGAGCCUAUGUGCCAAUUUUAUGCUUAAACGUUUUUAUUUAAUAUAAUAUUUAUUUGAGAAAGUGAACGUUGUCUAAAGUGUGUUUUCAGAUUGCGCCGCAUGAAAUCAACCCGCAAUCCUAGGCACACUCUAUUCAAUGUUUUAGGAUUUGGAUUUGGGCCGCAUAAAAUACCCACCCGUAUUUAGGAAUGUAAUUUAUUAAAGUCAUGCCUAAUAUGGUCUAACGCGUUGUAAUCUUUUGGGAGGGUCGUAAAAUUCGCUAAACGACCCUUUUCGAUUUUCUAAAUAUUUUUAAACCUUUAUUGAAGGCCCCACAUUUUACAUAUUUUUAUUUUGGUGAGGCACGCCACACUUUUAAAGGGUAAUCCUAAAGUGGCUACAUUCUUCUAUUUUUGUCCGUCUCAAAAAUAAAAGAGAAAAUCCUGAUUAAUUACAUGCUUAAAAAUGAAACAUAUUAAUUGCUAGAUUAAGACAAAUAUUAGCGGAAAGAAAAAAAGAAAUUCGAAAUUAUAAGUAAAAAUAAUUCAAAAUUAUAAAUAAACUACGAAAUCCAACAACUAAUAUUCAAAAGAAAUCAAUUAUAGCUAGAUUAAAACUCACAUUGUUAUAUAAAAACUAUUGAGAUUAAUUAUUCACAAUUAUUUGUAACUAGCUUUAACCAUAAUUACUAAAGCUAAAAAAAAUUAUUAAACUUAAAUGUUAACUCAUAUUGCUUAAAUUCGCGCCUAUGGAUUAAUGUUCCUAGCCUUGCUAGGUAGAAUCAUACGUCAAAUAUGUUAAAUCUACUGAUUCUAUUAUUAACCAAAUAUGUUUCUCUGAAAUUCGCGGAUCUUCGUUACUAACAAGAUUCAAAGAUCACGCACCUCAAGUUGUUUCUACUCCAAUUUUUGCAAAUUCAAAUAGGGAUUUUUAUCUAUCAAUUAAAUUAAUUUAAAAAGAAAGAGAUCACGAAUUACUUUAUUUUAAUCAUGAGAACCAGUAAAGCUGAAGCUAUUAGUUAUGCAGUUCUUGCAACCAUGCGUCCUAUAAUUAAAUAAUCUAACAACUUUCUCAAAUUAAGCAAGAAUACAUAAUUGACUACCUUUAUCAUUCGUAUAGCAGGAAAAUGUAUAAUUAAUGUUUAACUAAAAUACAAAUGUACUAUAACUAAGUACAUAAAUUUCUGCCAUUUCAUUCCGUCUUCAAGGCGUACAACAGAAUGAUUCAAAAUAGUGUACCCGGUAUUGGAAUACAAAGAAGAUGAGGAUCAGUAGGAAGAAAUAGCAGCACACACACAGCAACAGCAGUUCAACAACACAGGAGUAACCCAGUAAUAGCGGGAAUAGCAGAAAACCCAGGAGACAGACCAAUAAAGAAGUAACCAGUUGCCAAAAAUAACUCUGAUAUUUAUCACUCAAGAAAAAGAAGCUUGAAGCUUUAAUGAACAAUAGCAAUUGAUGCUAAUUGUUAACAGUGAAGAAGAACAAAUUUUUUCUUUAAUUUCUAACUUUCAAAAACUCCCAGAAUUCUUCAGAUUCAAAAGUCUUUUUAUCUUCCCUCAAAUUCUGAAAAUAUUUUUCUCUACAAAUUCCUCCUCUUUUAAGUAUUAAAUGAGUCUUAUUUAUAUCUAAAAAACAAGACUCUCCCCACUAUUCUUUUAGCUAUUAACUAAACUAUUUCUGAUUUUAAUUAAGCAAAAAGUAGUCAACACGAACCCCAUAGUCCCCUCUUUUUCAAUGGUAAAAGAAGACCACAUUAUUACCCUCUAUUUACAUAAUUAUGUUUUGUCCUCUACUAUAAUAUUUUAAUCAUAUUUUUAUAUCUAGUGUACAAAGCACUCAACAUAAAUAAUUCAACAAGCUAUUAAAUUCCCGUAUUACCCCCUGAAAUUAUUGAAAUUACCAACUGACCAACAUUGAUUCUCAAAAACACCAACUUACUACAGCUAUAACCAAAUUACUAAUCAAAUUCAACAAUUAAUCUCAUGAACAAACUCCUAAUCAACAACAUUUAAGAAUCAUUUCAAACAAAUCAGAUUCACAUUUAAAGAUAAACUUACAAAAUAAUAAAUAGAUUCAAAUUACUAAAAAUUAAUCAUCAAUUGAACUCCAAACUAACCAAACCAAGAUGAAGGAUUCAGUGACUAAAUUAACACACUUUUAGAUUAACCCAAACAAGAACAAAUGAACAUUGUAAACAUUUUGAACGAAAACAAACUGACUUCAUAUGCCAGAAAUGAUGAACAACAAAGUAAAAACUCAUCAUGCCACUACUAAAUAAUCACAAACGAACUAGAAUCUUAUUCAUAUGCUCAUAUCAAAAUCAAGUGAAUAACCACCUACAUGCUAGCAGAGAACAAACAAAAAUCUGCUGAAUCAAAACUUAGAAAAUGCCAUAUAAGGCUUCGAAUAGAUCUGGAAAAACACGACGAACCGUAGACAAACCUCGACAUGGAAGCUUCGAAACUCGCUGGAAAAUAUAAAACUGAGAGGCAUGGCUUUGUGUGUGCGUGUGUGGUUGUUGGAAGGCUGGCGAUGGUGAGCUGGUGCGGCUGACCGGUGGAGACGAUGAAGCAGGUGGUUAUGGCGGACGUGAAGGAAACGAGAAGGGUUGGUCGUCUUGUUCGCUGGUUGAAUGACGAGGAGGUAGACUGGUGCUGGCUAGGAAGGUUCAGGCGAUGAAGGUUGUCCGUUCGUUGGUUGAUGAUGGGGGACGAUGGGGUGUUUAGAAGAAGAGGGAGCUGGAGGGGGGAUGUUUGUUGUUUGUCUUUGUUGGUGGCGACAGGGCAUCGACAUGGUGGUUUGGGGGGGUCAUUUGGUGGUCAUGGCAGUUGGGGGGCUAGUUUUUAGCUUCUCAUGGCUGCUUCUUUCUUGUGAAGAAGAUGGAGAUGUCCUAGGGUUUCU
RNAcentral lists this long non-coding RNA (3864 nucleotides) under Nicotiana benthamiana. Its description in RNAcentral is "long non-coding RNA (NBEN_LNC011420)". Lineage: Eukaryota; Viridiplantae; Streptophyta; Magnoliopsida; Solanales; Solanaceae. The record is from RNAcentral.